Long non-coding RNA from Xenia sp. Carnegie-2017, 945 nucleotides. RefSeq lists it as uncharacterized. NCBI's taxonomy places the organism in Eukaryota, Metazoa, Cnidaria, Anthozoa, Malacalcyonacea, Xeniidae. The record is from RefSeq and is a predicted model, not a curated record. The transcript has 3 exons.
UGCGUGCUAAUAUUUUACUUUAUGCAUGUUUUUGUGUGGGAGUUUUGAGUUAUGCAUAUAGUGUCGAGCUCAUUUCAUGAUAUGCAAAUGCUCCAAAACACAGUUCAUGUUGGAAAUUUGGAACAUUCGUUUACGAUCAAUGCAUGAUUAGUUAAUUCAAAGGAAUUCUCGGAAAACUUGCUUUUUUCUUCUUGUAUGUAUCUACUGAAACGUGAACGCAAGUUUUGAAGAAGGAGGAAUUUCAGUUUGGAAGAAAAGCAGGAGAUUUUCUCAAUCAAGAAUAUAUACAGAUAGCGGAUCGUGGCUUUGUAUAAGGACAUCACAACUAAACGAUGUCGACAGUUACAAAAGAGUGCGUCAGUAAGCCAGAAGAUAAACUUUUCAACGCGGUUAGAAUGAAUAAAUUUCGUCUGGUUCGAUUACUGAUCGAAGGGGGCGUUCAUGUGGAUAGCCGUAACAGUAAUGAACAAACUCCUUUGUUGAUCUUAUCCUCGUCUUUGAGAAACGCAUCCCAUAGUCGUAGCGAAACUUAUAGAAAGGUUUUUAAGUAUCUUAUUACUGCUGGAGCUGAUGUAAAUGCUGCUGACGCAAGUGGAAGAACACCAUUGAUAUAUUCUGUGAUAACGCGGCUAUCAAUCUUCUAUGAUCUUCUCAACGCAGGCGCUGAUCCCUGGUCGCAGGACCGCAGUGGUAAAUGUGCUUUUGACUAUGCAAUUCAGCAAAAAGAUCUGCAUGCUGUUGAAAAAAUGGUUGAAUCAUGUAAGAAAGCAAGAUCGUAUGUCGUGGGAGACGCGUGGAACAAGAGGGCUCGAUAAAGUAGAAGGUCAAGGUGAAAGACGAGAGAAGAAUAAGAACAAGCAGACGAAGAGAUCAAAAUCGCCGAUCAAAAGUCGAAAGGAAUUUUCAAAGUCAAGACAAAUGUACAGCGCACCAAAUUUAAGAGUU